CUCCGUUAGACAGACUUAAGGGACCUCUUCAAUAUGGCCAAUGGAACUUAACCUAACUGUAGACAACUGUGGACUUUAAAAUGAGGUAUACUGCUUUUGGCUGGGACAGAUUCAAUUUUCUUCAGAGUGAUGUCAGUUAUUAAUUGAAAACUGGAUACUAAAGCAAACAUCUUGACUCUGUGUGUGGAUCGGCUUCUUGCACACCAGACUUCAACCUGAAGAAAACUGGCUCAUUGACCAGAAAACCUAACCAAGAAAUUAAAAAACCUCAUUUGGUGUUGUCCUAAGGUUUAAUUUUUUUCAACUUAUGAAUGGGGUUUCAAAUUUCAAACUGGGCUUUUUAAAAUGUGAUGGU
This is a long non-coding RNA of Apus apus (common swift), 355 nucleotides long. RefSeq lists it as uncharacterized. Lineage: Eukaryota; Metazoa; Chordata; Aves; Apodiformes; Apodidae. The record is from RefSeq and is a predicted model, not a curated record. The transcript is spliced from 4 exons.